Molecule: ribosomal RNA, 460 nt
Filed under: uncultured bacterium
Lineage: Bacteria
Description: SSU rRNA
Rfam family: Bacterial small subunit ribosomal RNA
Source: RNAcentral
AGGAUGAACGCUGGCGGUCUGCUUAACACAUGCAAGUCGAACGGGCGUAGCAAUACGUUAGUGGCGGACGGGUGAGUAACGCGUGAGAAUCUACCUUCAGGACGGAGACAACAGUUGGAAACGACUGCUAACCCCCGAUGUACUGAAAAGGCAAAUAUUUAUAGCCUGAAGAAGAGCUCGCGUCCGAUUAGCUAGUUGGAGAGGUAAAAGCUCACCAAGGCGACGAUCGGUAGCUGGUCUGAGAGGACGAUCAGCCACACUGGGACUGAGACACGGCCCAGACUCCUACGGGAGGCAGCAGUGGGAAUUUUCCGCAAUGGGCGAAAGCCUGACGGAGCAAGACCGCGUGGGGGAAGAAGGCUCUUGGGUUGUAAACCCCUUUUCUCUGGGAAGAAAGUUGUGAGAGCAGCCUGACGGUACCAGAGGAAUCAGCAUCGGCUAACUCCGUGCCAGCAGCCGC